AUGUAAAACCGCGAAAAUGGUAAAAUAAAAAAAGCUUUGGCUCCAAUAUUUUCCCACUUAAAAUCAGUUACUUAUCAGUAUCAACUCACUUCACUGCGUCUCACAUUCUCACAGGCUGCAUCACACUCAUAUUAACCUCAAUUGUCAGUUUCUCAAAGCGUCUCUCACUCUAAAUCCGAUUCUGGCUCCCUCAAUUUAUACAAGAAGUAUCUAUUGAUCUAUUAAUUUAUAGUGGUUAUCUCAUCCUAUAUAUCAAGGUAUUAACAAAAAAGUAAGGAAGGGGAAGAAGAAAAAGAAGGCAACAAGUAAAACGAAGAAUGUGAUGACAUUGAUCAAAUGGGAUUUAUUUUAGCUUCUCCAUCGUUAUUCCUCGUUUGGACAUUAUUUUUUUCUUCUAUUUAUUAGCUAGACUAAUAGUAUACUCAUCAAGAUGGAUUUGGUAUUGAAAAUUAGUGGUUAUUACUUUUGAUUAUAUAUUCACUAUUUUUAUUGGUUUGGGAUUAUCUAUUCAAAUGUUUAUUAUUUA
Molecule: long non-coding RNA, 526 nt
Organism: Chenopodium quinoa (quinoa)
Lineage: Eukaryota; Viridiplantae; Streptophyta; Magnoliopsida; Caryophyllales; Amaranthaceae
Exons: 3
Source: RefSeq, a predicted model, not a curated record